Molecule: transfer RNA, 359 nt
Filed under: uncultured Microcystis sp.
Lineage: Bacteria; Bacillati; Cyanobacteriota; Cyanophyceae; Chroococcales; Microcystaceae
Description: partial 16S-23S ribosomal RNA intergenic spacer
Rfam family: tRNA (bases 134-207)
Source: RNAcentral
AAAGGGAGACCUAAUUCAGGUAUGGGACGAAAAAAAAGUAGUCGCUACCAAGAAUCAAUCCCAAAAGGUCGGAGCGAGGCAUGAGGCUUUCAAACUAGGUUCUGGGUUCACACAAGACCUGAAUCAGGAACAAGGGCUAUUAGCUCAGGUGGUUAGAGCGCACCCCUGAUAAGGGUGAGGUCCCUGGUUCGAGUCCAGGAUGGCCCACCUGCACAGGUGGCAAAAACAAGAGAAGCGAGGAAUCAGCACCUUAUCUUACUGACAUAGCAAGAGAGAAUGCUGGCUCUGAGUAAAGAGUCCAGAGGAACCUUGAAAACUGCAUAGAGCUAGGUGAAAAAGCCAAAAAAGAAGACCGCAAG